CGUCAAGUCAUCAUGGCCCUUACGGCCAGGGCUACACACGUGCUACAAUGGUCGGUACAAAGGGUUGCCAAGCCGCGAGGUGGAGCUAAUCCCAUAAAACCGAUCGUAGUCCGGAUCGCAGUCUGCAACUCGACUGCGUGAAGUCGGAAUCGCUAGUAAUCGUGAAUCAGAACGUCACGGUGAAUACGUUCCCGGGCCUUGUACACACCGCCCGUCACACCAUGGGAGUGGGUUGCUCCAGAAGUAGCUAGUCUAACCCUCGGGAGGACGGUUACCACGGAGUGAUUCAUGACUGGGGUGAAGUCGUAACAAGGUAGCCGUAGGGGAACCUGCGGCUGGAUCACCUCCUUA
RNAcentral lists this non-coding RNA (351 nucleotides) under Corchorus olitorius. Its description in RNAcentral is "Bacterial small subunit ribosomal RNA". It matches the Rfam family "Bacterial small subunit ribosomal RNA", at positions 1183 to 1533 of the family's 1533-position model. Lineage: Eukaryota; Viridiplantae; Streptophyta; Magnoliopsida; Malvales; Malvaceae. The record is from Rfam by way of RNAcentral.